UGCGGGAUGGAGCAGUCCGGUAGCUCGUCAGGCUCAUAACCUGAAGGUCGUAGGUUCAAAUCCUACUCCCGCAA
Jannaschia rubra is the source of this 74-nucleotide transfer RNA. It matches the Rfam family "tRNA". From Rfam's summary of the family: Transfer RNA (tRNA) molecules are approximately 80 nucleotides in length. Their secondary structure includes four short double-helical elements and three loops (D, anti-codon, and T loops). NCBI's taxonomy places the organism in Bacteria, Pseudomonadati, Pseudomonadota, Alphaproteobacteria, Rhodobacterales, Roseobacteraceae. The record is from Rfam.